ACACACACAGACCCUUAUCAGUUCUCCGUCCAACGGUUAGCAUAAGAAGGCUGGCUGGAAAAGUGAUAAGGGCACGUGAGUGG
Molecule: non-coding RNA, 83 nt
Organism: Podarcis lilfordi (Lilford's wall lizard)
Lineage: Eukaryota; Metazoa; Chordata; Lepidosauria; Squamata; Lacertidae
Source: the annotation of a GenBank genome assembly